RNAcentral lists this transfer RNA (66 nucleotides) under Progne chalybea. RNAcentral's name for it is "tRNA-Cys". The record is from RNAcentral. Lineage: Eukaryota; Metazoa; Chordata; Aves; Passeriformes; Hirundinidae.
GGCUCCGUAGUGAAAUUCAUGGUGGGUUGCAAGCCCAUCGAUGUGCGUUGGUACGUACCGGGGUCU